AGUGAACGCUGGCGGUAGGCCUAACACAUGCAAGUCGAACGGCAGCACAGUAAGAGCUUGCUCUUACGGGUGGCGAGUGGCGGACGGGUGGGGAAUACAUCGGAAUCUACUUUUUCGUGGGGGAUAACGUAGGGAAACUUACGCUAAUACCACAUACGACCUACGGGUGAAAGCAGGGGAUCUUCGGACCUUGCGCGAUUGAAUGAGCCGAUGUCGGAUUAGCUAGUUGGCGGGGUAAAGGCCCACCAAGGCGACGAUCCGUAGCUGGUCUGAGAGGAUGAUCAGCCACACUGGAACUGAGACACGGUCCAGACUCCUACGGGAGGCAGCAGUGGGGAAUAUUGGACAAUGGGCGCAAGCCUGAUCCAGCCAUACCGCGUGGGUGAAGAAGGCCUUCGGGUUGUAAAGCCCUUUUGUUGGGAAAGAAAAGCAGCAGGUUAAUACCCCGCUGUUCUGACGGUACCCAAAGAAUAAGCACCGGCUAACUUCGUG
Molecule: ribosomal RNA, 492 nt
Filed under: uncultured bacterium
Lineage: Bacteria
Description: partial 16S ribosomal RNA
Rfam family: Bacterial small subunit ribosomal RNA
Source: RNAcentral